AUACGUAGGGGGCGAGCGUUGUCCGGAAUUACUGGGCGUAAAGGGUGCGUAGGCGGCCCUUUAAGUCGGAUGUGAAAGCCCGCGGCUUAACCGCGGAAUGGCAUUCGAAACUGGAGGGCUUGAGUGUCGGAGAGGGUAGUGGAAUUCCCAGUGUAGCGGUGAAAUGCGUAGAUAUUGGGAGGAACACCAGUGGCGAAGGCGACUACCUGGACGAUAACUGACGCUGAGGCACGAAAGCUAGGGGAGCAGACAGGAUUAGAUACCCUGGUAGUCCUAGCCGUAAACGAUGGGUACUAGGUGUGGGUGGUUUCGAUACCAUCCGUGCCGUAGUUAACGCAUUAAGUAUCCCGCCUGGGGAGUACGGUCGCAAGGCUGAA
This 377-nucleotide ribosomal RNA is filed under the name uncultured bacterium. RNAcentral's name for it is "bacterial SSU rRNA". It matches the Rfam family "Bacterial small subunit ribosomal RNA", at positions 523 to 898 of the family's 1533-position model. The record is from RNAcentral.